RNAcentral lists this ribosomal RNA (604 nucleotides) under Flagellospora saccata. RNAcentral describes it as "eukaryotic LSU rRNA". The stretch from base 221 to 374 matches the Rfam family "5.8S ribosomal RNA". Lineage: Eukaryota; Fungi; Ascomycota; Leotiomycetes; Leotiales; Leotiaceae. The record is from RNAcentral.
GUAAAAAGUCGUAACAAGGUUUCCGUAGGUGAACCUGCGGAAGGAUCAUUAUAGAGAACCUGGUAUGGGUAAAACCUGCCAACUCUCCACCCUUUGUUUACAUUACCUUUGUUGCUUUGGCAGGCCCGUCCUUGGCACCGCCGGCUUCGGCUGGCCAGUGCCUGCCAGAGGACCUAAAACUCUGUUUAAAUGUAUUGUCUGAGUACUAUAUAAUAGUUAAAACUUUCAACAACGGAUCUCUUGGUUCUGGCAUCGAUGAAGAACGCAGCGAAAUGCGAUAAGUAAUGUGAAUUGCAGAAUUCAGUGAAUCAUCGAAUCUUUGAACGCACAUUGCGCCCUCUGGUAUUCCGGGGGGCAUGCCUGUUCGAGCGUCAUUACAACCCUCAAGCUCUGCUUGGUAUUAGGCUUCACCCGCGAGGGUGUGCCGUAAAACUAGUGGCGGUGCCAUUUGGCUUCAAGCGUAGUAAUUUUUCUCGCUUUAGAAGACCAAGUGUGUAUUUGCGCAACAACCCCAAUUUUUAUCAAAGGUUGACCUCGGGAUCAGGUAGGGGAUACCCGCUGAACUUUAAGCAUAUCAAUAAGCGGAGGGAAAAGAAACCCAACC